Molecule: ribosomal RNA, 203 nt
Filed under: uncultured bacterium
Lineage: Bacteria
Description: partial 16S ribosomal RNA
Rfam family: Bacterial small subunit ribosomal RNA
Source: RNAcentral
CUGGAAACGGUAGCUAAUACCGCAUAACGUCGCAAGACCAAANAGGGGGACCUUCGGGCCUCUUGCCAUCGGAUGUGCCCAGAUGGGAUUAGCUAGUAGGUGGGGUAAAGGCUCACCUAGGCGACGAUCCCUAGCUGGUCUGAGAGGAUGACCAGCCACACUGGAACUGAGACACGGUCCAGACUCCUACGGGAGGCAGCAUG